RNAcentral lists this ribosomal RNA (449 nucleotides) under uncultured bacterium. Its description in RNAcentral is "partial 16S ribosomal RNA". It matches the Rfam family "Bacterial small subunit ribosomal RNA", at positions 29 to 523 of the family's 1533-position model. The record is from RNAcentral.
AACGAACGCUGGCGGCAUGCCUAACACAUGCAAGUCGAACGAGAUCUUCGGGUCUAGUGGCGCACGGGUGCGUAACGCGUGGGAAUCUGCCCUUUGGUUCGGAAUAACAGUUGGAAACGACUGCUUAUACCGGAUGAUGACGAAAGUCCAAAGAUUUAUCGCCAGGGGAUGAGCCCGCGUAGGACUAGCUAGUUGGGUUGGUAAAGGCGCACCAAGGCGACGAUCCUUAGCUGGUCUGAGAGGAGCAUCAGCCACACUGGGACUGAGACAAGGCACAGACUGCUACGGGGGGCAGCAGUGGGGAAUAUUGGACAAUGGGCGACAGCCUGAUCCCGCAAUGCCGCGUAAGUGAUGAAGUCCUUAGGGUUGUAAAGCUCUUGUACCCGGGAUGAUAAUGACAGUACCGGGAGAAGAAGCUCCGGCUAACUCCGUGCCAGCCGCCGCUGUAA